RNAcentral lists this ribosomal RNA (253 nucleotides) under uncultured bacterium. Its description in RNAcentral is "partial 16S ribosomal RNA". It matches the Rfam family "Bacterial small subunit ribosomal RNA", at positions 524 to 776 of the family's 1533-position model. The record is from RNAcentral.
GACAGAGGGUGCAAACGUUGUUCGGAAUUACUGGGCGUAAAGCGUGUGUAGGCGGCUUUGCAAGUCGGAUGUGAAAGCCCCGGGCUCAACCCGGGAAGUGCACUCGAUACUGCAGAGCUUGAGUGUCGGAGAGGUUGGUGGAAUUCUCGGUGUAGAGGUGAAAUUCGUAGAUAUCGAGAGGAACACUGGUGGCGAAGGCGGCCAACUGGACGAACACUGACGCUGAGACACGAAAGCGUGGGGAGCAAACAGG